AAGAAAAUAGGUUAAAAGAUGAACUCACAAACCGUAUGGUUGAGUUCUUCAGAAAUGACACAUUCGACAAAACUAAGCUCCUUGAAAAAGUUGGCACAUAUCUAAAGUAUGUGAGGGACCGGUACAUGACACAUUUAGAGAAGAACAUAAAGUACGAGCGUCCUCCCAUGAUUCCAGAGAGGGAGUGGAAGGACCUGAUUUUGGAUGCGAAGGAGAGAGUUGAAAGGAAAAAAGGAAAUCCACCACUAGACGCCAGAAGAACACUGAGUGACACGUCAAAGGCAAUCAAGACAAGACAAGAAAAGCACGGGCAACACAAACUUGGUCUGGUGGUUAUAUGAAACUUGCCGCAUGAAUUGGCUCUGAAUUCAAUAGAGCACCCAUACAAGAUGACAAGAGAAUUUCCUACGAGCAAGGCUAUAGAACUAUGGAUGAAUGACUACGAGAAUUGAGUGGGCAAACACGAGAUUCUGGUGCAUCCAUCACAUAGCUUGAUAAUCGUGGAACACAACCUCCACAUGAAGGUCCGAAUGUGCAUCCUAGUAGUGGAGAGCAUGUAGUCGGUGGUGACCAAGUGGAGCAUGAUCUGGGUAGAUAAAAUCAAGAACGUGAUGUUCCCUAGUCAGAGGAUCUAGAGGGUGUCCAACAAGUUGAGGUUGAGGCUAGACAAAAUGAUUUCAAAGAUGAUGUGGCCCCAUCAGGUAAAGAGCGCCACAGUUAUGUUCUUUAAAUUAAUGAAAUACUUGUAACAAAAAUAAAAAAUGAUUUGAAUUUAA
This is a long non-coding RNA of Cryptomeria japonica (Japanese cedar), 776 nucleotides long. RefSeq lists it as uncharacterized. NCBI's taxonomy places the organism in Eukaryota, Viridiplantae, Streptophyta, Pinopsida, Cupressales, Cupressaceae. The transcript is spliced from 6 exons. The record is from RefSeq and is a predicted model, not a curated record.